This 1422-nucleotide ribosomal RNA is filed under the name uncultured prokaryote. RNAcentral describes it as "partial 16S ribosomal RNA". It matches the Rfam family "Bacterial small subunit ribosomal RNA". The record is from RNAcentral.
GAUGAACGCUGGCGGCGUGCCUAAUACAUGCAAGUCGAACGAGAAAGACGAUACUCGUAUCGUCUGGACAGUGGCGGACGGGUGAGUAACACGUAGACGACCUGCCCUGGAGAGGGGGAUAACGCGGGGAAACCCACGCUAAUACCCCAUAAGCUCACGGGAAUUAGAACCCUGUGAGAAAAGACUCCGGUGUUUCGGGAGGGGUCUGCGGCCCAUCAGCUAGUUGGUAGGGUAAAGGCCUACCAAGGCGAAGACGGGUAGGGGGCCUGAGAGGGUGGUCCCCCACAUGGGAACUGAGACACGGUCCUGACUCCUACGGGAGGCAGCAGUAAGGAAUAUUGCGCAAUGGGCGAAAGCCUGACGCAGCAACGCCGCGUGAGUGAAGAAGGCCUUCGGGUCGUAAAGCUCUUUUCUGGUUGAAGAGGAAGGACAGUAAGCCAGGAAUAAGUGUCGGCUAACUACGUGCCAGCAGCCGCGGUAAAACGUAGGACGCAAGCGUUAUCCGGAGUUACUGGGCGUAAAGCGCAGGUAGGCGGUGUAUCAAGUCAGGCUUGAAAGCGCCCGGCUCAACCGGGCGAGGCGGUUCGAAACUAGAUCGCUGGGGGGCAGUAGAGGUAGGUGGAAUUCCCGGUGUAGUGGUGAAAUGCGUAGAUAUCCGGAGGAACACCAGUGGCGAAGGCGGCGCUCUGGGCUGUAACUGACGCUGAGCCGCGAAAGCAUGGGUAGCGAACGGGAUUAGAAACCCCGGUAGUCCAUGCCGUAAACGAUGUACACUGGGUGUCGGGGGAGAACCUGCAGUGCCGAAGCAAACGCGAUAAGUUGACCGCCUGGGGAGUACGGCCGCAAGGCUAAAACUCAAAGGAAUUGACGGGGACCCGCACAAGCAGCGGAGCGUGUGGUUUAAUUCGAGGCUACGCGAAGAACCUUACCAGGGUUUGACAUGGCGGUGGUAGGAAAGCGAAAAGGGACCGACCUUCGGGAGCCUAUACAGGUGCUGCAUGGCUGUCGUCAGCUCGUGCCGUGAGGUGUUCGGUUAAGUCCGGUAACGAGCGCAACCCUCGUCGUCAGUUACAAGUGUCUGGCGAGACUGCCGGUGACAAACCGGAGGAAGGUGGGGAUGACGUCAAGUCAGCAUGGCCUUUAUGUCCAGGGCUACACACACGCUACAAUGGCCGGUACAAUGGGUCGCCAACCCGCGAGGGGGAGCCAAUCCAAUAAAGCCGGUCUCAGUUCGGAUUGUAGGCUGCAACUCGCCUGCAUGAAGUCGGAGUUGCUAGUAACCGCGCGUCAGCAACAGUGCGGUGAAUACGUUCCCGGGCCUUGUACACACCGCCCGUCACGUCAUGGGAGUCGGCAAUACCUGAAGUCGGUGUGCUAACCGCAAGGAGGCAGCCGCCCAAGGUAGGGCUGGUAACUGGGAUG